UGGGGAAUAUUGGACAAUGGGCGAAAGCCUGAUCCAGCCAUGCCGCGUGUGUGAAGAAGGUCUUCGGAUUGUAAAGCACGUUAAGUUGGGAGGAAGGGUAGUAAGCGAAUACCUUGCUGUUUUGACGUUACCGACAGAAUAAGCACCGGCUAACUCUGUGCCAGCACCCGCGGUAAUACAGAGGGUGCAAGCGUUACUCGGAAUCACUGGUCGUAAAGCGAGCGUAGGUGGUACGUUAAGUUGAAUGUGAAAGCUCCGGGCUCGACCUGGGAACUGCAUCCAACUCUGGCGAGCUAGAGUAGGGCAGGGGGUAGUGGAAUUUCCUGUGUAGCGGUGAAAUGCGUAGAGAUAUUAAGGAGCACCACUGGCGAAGGCGACCAGCUGGGCUCAUACGGACACUGAGGUGCGAUGGCGUAGGGAGCAAACAGG
Molecule: ribosomal RNA, 429 nt
Filed under: Pseudomonadota bacterium
Lineage: Bacteria; Pseudomonadati; Pseudomonadota
Description: Proteobacteria bacterium partial 16S ribosomal RNA
Rfam family: Bacterial small subunit ribosomal RNA
Source: RNAcentral